RNAcentral lists this ribosomal RNA (467 nucleotides) under uncultured ciliate. RNAcentral's name for it is "SSU rRNA". It matches the Rfam family "Eukaryotic small subunit ribosomal RNA". The record is from RNAcentral. Lineage: Eukaryota; Ciliophora.
AUUUGUCUGGUUAAUUCCGAUAACGAACGAGACCUUAACCUGCUAACUAGUUCUUUUAGUUUGACUGAAAGUAACUUCUUAGAGGGACUGUGCGUAUUAAGCGCAUGGAAGUUUGAGGCAAUAACAGGUCUGUGAUGCCCUUAUAUGUCCUGGGCUGCACGCGUGCUACACUGAUGCAUACAGCAAGUGCCUAACCAGUCAUGGCAUGGCAAUCUCCAAUAUGCAUCGUGAUGGGGAUAGAUCUUUGCAAUUAUAGAUCUUGAACGAGGAAUUCCUAGUAAGUGCAAGUCAUCAUCUUGCAUUGAUUAUGUCCCUGCCCUUUGUACACACCGCCCGUCGCUCCUACCGAUACCGGGUGGUUCGGUGAACCUUUUGGAUCUCCAACGAGGAAAGAUAAGUAAAUCAUAUCACCUAGAGGAAGGAGAAGUCGUAACAAGGUUUCCGUAGGUGAACCUGCRGAAGGAUCA